Molecule: ribosomal RNA, 253 nt
Filed under: uncultured bacterium
Lineage: Bacteria
Description: partial 16S ribosomal RNA
Rfam family: Bacterial small subunit ribosomal RNA
Source: RNAcentral
UACGUAGGGGGCAAGCGUUGUCCGGAAUCAUUGGGCGUAAAGAGCGUGUAGGCGGCCCGAUAAGUCCGUCGUGAAAGUCCAGGGCUCAACCCUGGGAUGCCGGUGGAAACUGUCGGGCUAGAGUCCGGAAGAGGCGAGUGGAAUUCCUGGUGUAGCGGUGAAAUGCGCAGAUAUCAGGAGGAACACCGAUGGCGAAGGCAGCUCGCUGGGACGGUACUGACGCUGAGACGCGAAAGCGUGGGGAGCGAACAGG